RNAcentral lists this non-coding RNA (27 nucleotides) under Mus musculus (house mouse). Lineage: Eukaryota; Metazoa; Chordata; Mammalia; Rodentia; Muridae. The record is from RNAcentral.
UGCCCCAUAGGGUCACAGGUAUUUCUA